Molecule: ribosomal RNA, 1549 nt
Filed under: uncultured bacterium
Lineage: Bacteria
Description: bacterial SSU rRNA
Rfam family: Bacterial small subunit ribosomal RNA
Source: RNAcentral
CACGGAUCCAGAGUUUGAUUAUGGCUCAGGACAAACGCUGGCGGCAUGCCUAACACAUGCAAGUCGAACGGACAAGUUAGUAGAAAUUUUUCGGAAUGGAAGCUAAUGCGUUAGUGGCGGAUGGGUGAGUAACGCGCGGAUAACCUGCCUCUAAAUGGGGAAUAACUACGAGAAAUCGUAGCUAAUACCGCAUAAUAUCUCUUUAUUGCAUGAUAGAGAGAGGAAAGACGGCCUUAGCGCUGUCGUUUAGAGAUGGAUCCGCGUCUGAUUAGCUAGUUGGUGAGGUAAGGGCUCACCAAGGCGACGAUCAGUAGCCGGCCUGAGAGGGUGAACGGCCACAUUGGGACUGAGACACGGCCCAAACUCCUACGGGAGGCAGCAGUGGGGAAUCUUCCGCAAUGGGCGCAAGCCUGACGGAGCAAUGCCGCGUGAGUGAAGAAGGCCUUCGGGUUGUAAAGCUCUGUCCUUAUCGAAGAGAGAGAAGAGUAGUAACUGACUUUUCUAGGACGGUAGACGAGGAGGAAGCCCCGGCUAACUAUGUGCCAGCAGCCGCGGUAAAACAUAGGGGGCAAGCGUUGUCCGGAAUCACUGGGCGUAAAGGGCGCGCAGGCGGUUUAUUAAGUCAGGUGUGAAAGUUCGGGGCUCAACCCCGUGAUUGCACCUGAUACUGAUAGACUAGAGUGUUGGAGAGGUAAGUGGAAUUCCUAGUGUAGCGGUGGAAUGCGUAGAUAUUAGGAGGAACACCAGUGGCGAAGGCGACUUACUGGCCAAUAACUGACGCUGAGGCGCGAAAGCGUGGGGAGCAAACAGGAUUAGAUACCCUGGUAGUCCACGCCGUAAACGAUGAGUACUAGGUGUUGGUUGUUUCGAUACAAUCGGUGCCGUAGUUAACACAAUAAGUACUCCGCCUGGGGAGUACGGUCGCAAGACUGAAACUCAAAGGAAUUGACGGGGGCCCGCACAAGCGGUGGAGCAUGUGGUUUAAUUCGACGCAACGCGAAGAACCUUACCAAGACUUGACAUCCUCUUGACCGGAUAUGUAAUGUAUCCCUUUCUUCGGAACAAGAGAGACAGGUGGUGCAUGGUUGUCGUCAGCUCGUGUCGUGAGAUGUUGGGUUAAGUCCCGCAACGAGCGCAACCCCUAUAGUUAGUUGCCAUCAUUAAGUUGGGCACUCUAGCAAGACUGCCGGUGACAAACCGGAGGAAGGUGGGGAUGACGUCAAAUCAUCAUGCCCCUUAUGUCUUGGGCUACACACGUGCUACAAUGGUUGGUACAGAGGGCAGCGAAGGAGUGAUCUGGAGCGAAUCCCAAAAAGCCAAUCUCAGUUCGGAUUGUAGGCUGCAACUCGCCUACAUGAAGUCGGAAUCGCUAGUAAUCGCAGGUCAGCAUACUGCGGUGAAUACGUUCCCGGGCCUUGUACACACCGCCCGUCACACCACGAAAGUUGGUAACACCCGAAGUCGGUGGUCUGACCCGUAAGGGAGGAAGCCGCCCACGGUGGGAUCGAUGAUUGGGGUGAAGUCGUAACAAGGUAGCCGUAAGCUUCAC